Paramuricea clavata is the source of this 457-nucleotide non-coding RNA. NCBI's taxonomy places the organism in Eukaryota, Metazoa, Cnidaria, Anthozoa, Malacalcyonacea, Plexauridae. The record is from the annotation of a GenBank genome assembly.
GUUGAUGGGGCUAGCGUGUUCCUUUUUGUUAAUUUUAAAUAAAGUAUUGCCUGCCUAUUGCCUGCUUGCCUAUAAUUUGACUAAUCCGUUUCUAUCGUUGAUAAAAUAAUACCUGCAAGCAUUGAUUUGUUCGCGCUAUUCUGAGCAAAAAUUCGGGCUUUUCCCGUUUUCCUCUGCGGAGGUUUCCUGCGGAGAGGUGUUAGCACCCUUUUGGGUAGGCUAUACGUCAUACACUUUAGUGCGAGGAAACGAGCUAUAUUAUGUGACAAACUGCGAUUUUAAGAAAAGAGGAUACAUAAUAUUCACAAAAGAACUUUCCUUGAGUUACUGCACUCGGUUUUAGACAGUAGAUCUACAAGGUGUAUAAAAAAAGUAGACAAUUUUGAAAUGGCUCUCAAUUUCACAAAUCUGUUCAUUUCAUAAAGUGUUUGAUAAAUAUAUAAUGCCUAUCACGCAU